Molecule: ribosomal RNA, 865 nt
Filed under: uncultured Sebacinales
Lineage: Eukaryota; Fungi; Basidiomycota; Agaricomycetes; Sebacinales
Description: eukaryotic LSU rRNA
Rfam family: Eukaryotic large subunit ribosomal RNA (bases 200-865)
Source: RNAcentral
UUCUACGACUUUAUUGUUGUUUGAAUGUGGACUUGGAUGUUGCCGUUUUAUCACGGCUCGUCUUAAAUGCCUGAGUGUACCCUGUUUUGCAGCGUAUCCAGUGUAAUAAGCAUUUCACUAGAGUUGGUCGAAAGACCGCGUUGCCUAUAUGGGCUCUAUGCUUCAAACCGUCUACCAUGUGGACAAUUUCUUGACAAUUUGACCUCAAAUCGGGUGGGACUACCCGCUGAACUUAAGCAUAUCAAUAAGCGGAGGAAAAGAAACUAACAAGGAUUCCCCUAGUAACGGCGAGUGAAGAGGGAAAAGCUCAAAUUUUGAAUCUGGUGUCUUUGACUCCCGAGUUGUAAUCUAGAGAAGUGUUUUCCGUGUCGGACCGUGUACAAGUUCCCUGGAACGGGGCGUCAUAGAGGGUGAGAAUCCCGUAUAUGCCACGGACUACCGAUGCUCUGUGAUACACUCUCAACGAGUCGAGUUGUUUGGGAAUGCAGCUCAAAAUGGGUGGUAAAUUCCAUCUAAAGCUAAAUAUUGGCGAGAGACCGAUAGCGAACAAGUACCGUGAGGGAAAGAUGAAAAGCACUUUGGAAAGAGAGUGAAACAGUACGUGAAAUUGUUGAAAGGGAAGCGUUUGAAGUCAGUCGCAUCUGUUGGGGUUCAGCCUGGCUUUUGCCUGGUGUAUUUCCUUUCCGAUGGGUCAGCAUCAGUUUCGACCGAGGGAAAAAGACAUUUGGAAUGUGGCUGUCUUCGGGCAGUGUUAUAGCCUUGUGUUGUAUGUCUCGGUUGGGACUGAGGAUUGCAGCGCGCCAUAAAUGGCCGGGGGUCGCUCCUCUCGACACGCGCUUAGGAUGCUGGCAUAUGGCUUUAAGCG